UUCAGCUGAUAGGGUGGAUGGGGUUUAAUAACCGUGCAUCAUUAUAGUAGCGGGCAGUCUAGCUUUAAGACAUGCCAAACCUCUCCGGCACCGCUUCUUUUUCUGCAAUACAUGUACUACUUAGUUCGUUUUAAACAAGCCGGAGCGCAAACCUGCUGUUCAAGUGGAGGACGGGAGGGAGCGGAGAGGGAGCUGUCAUCGCCGGGGAGCCGAUCCGCCUCUUUAGCUUAAGUGUGGAGGGGAAUUAACUCCGCGGCAACACAAGGAUCCCCUCCAGAGCGGAAAGGUGACGCCUCGACAUGAUUUAAAGGUGAAAUGACACGUUUCCACCCUUUAAAGUCCGGACGGUGUCUGACACAACCUCUCAGCCGGGAGAGUUAAGCGCCGCGCCUGUACGUUUGGAGCAAUCGCUGGGCACAGGACAGCCCCGCAUCCGCAGUUUCACAAACCUGAAGCGGGAACUUGUGGGAAGCCCAACGGCGAUAUGGAUGGAUUUAAGACAGCGUGAUGAUUUCUUUGGAUGAGCACUAGUAAGGUUUCUUUUCUGCUGGCCGGAUUAAGCAGCUGCACCCCACCAUGUCCUGGUUCUGGUGCUUGUGGAUUAGCGCCAGCGCCAUCAUGCUUUGCCGGGCCACUCUCUACAACACCAUCCAGCAGCACCACCUGCCCAGGCCUGGCCGCAACGCCAUCCAGAUCCUCGAGGGUGGGACGUGCGAGGUCAUCGCCGCACACCGGUGCUGCAACAAAAACCGCAUUGAGGAACGAUCCCAGACGGUGAAAUGCUCCUGUCUGCCCGGGAAGGUGGCCGGUACGACAAGGAACAAGCCGUCGUGCGUCGACGCCUCCAUCGUCAUUGGGAAAUGGUGGUGCGAGAUGGAGCCCUGUCUGGAAGGAGAGGAGUGCAAGACGCUGCCAGACAACUCCGGCUGGAUGUGCUCCUCCGGGAACAAGAUCAAGACGACCAGGGGCCGACGCGCACCCAGCGGCUGGUCGACCGGCUCGCUGCCUGUUUCCUGCACCACGGUGAACGCACCUGUCAGUCACAGCUGCCAGUAACACCGAACUGCCGAAGCUGCAUCAAAAGCGUGCGGCAACUGCCAACUGGUAAACAUGCCGGGCUCAUCAGCAACACACCAGCUAAUUAUUCCACACCCGCACAUCAAAAAGGGCCAGACCGCUAUGUAAACUCUAAAUAAACACGAGUGGAUCGAUGAAAAGUCCAUAGCAAGGCACAUUAGUCACACAUCUUGAAGUCCAAACCAUCUGUACGGGCCGGCACCUGAAUAAAGCUUUACUUGAUCUUCGACACCACGCUCAGAGCUCCAUCCUCCGAGUGUGUCAGUGAAAAAAGGGUAUCUCGAAAAGUCAAAAACUGGGUGUCAACAAACUGGGGGUGGUCACUCUUUCCAGGAAUUUCCAUCUAGAUGUAGGGAGUAUUACAGUAAGUCAGAAACAGUACUGCUGACCAUACAACGCUUUACCAAGCAGCGAGUGUAAUAUGGAACAUGGUGACCCAUAAAACUGGAGCAUCAGACAUGCCAAAAACCACCUCAAUCUCUGACCCAAUUGGACCUUGCACCCUCUUCUUCAUUCUGUCGUUUGUGAGCACAUAUUUUUGGACACACGAAACGGUGAAAUCAGUCUUGAAUCAUGACUAGCCAGCAAACGGUUUCUCAAAGCUGUCCCCGAGACCAGAUAACGUGAACAGAAGUUGACUGGAUACCAUUUUUUCGACAUGUCAAGGUAAGAGUCGCAAUACUAAUCUUCAAAGCCUGAAUUGUUUGCAUAGCGCUUUAACGCUUUAACAGAUGUGUGUCUGCUUGUGAUAUCGUUUGAUUGCCUUUGAAGAGAAGUGUUUUGUACUCUUUUGUAACUCUGUGAAAGAUAACUUUGAAGCACGUAGGUGGGGACCUCUUGUCCUCAUGCUUUAAGGUGAGGAAGGUUAAAAGAGCAUGAAUAAUACACACAUGUGACCUAUGACCCUCACCCCUGUGGCAUUUCCUCUGCAGAACACCCAGCCAUACUCAUCCUUUUAGUUCUGGAAGCAAAGUUCAAGGAGGGAUGAAUUGACAUGGGGCAGCAUCAUUGCUUCUAAAAAGAUUCAUCCGCGGACCUAACAAAGAGCUCGCUCGCAGACGAUGAACACCGAUUCAGCUGUUAAACGGGAAAAAACACCAUUCCAACGAAGGAGACCUGACAGGAUUAUUUGGCUCACCGACUUACCCGAAAAGAGGAUAUCGCUCACGGUGGAGCAGCGGAUCUGGGUUUGGCUCUAAAGAUUUCACAUCUUGCUGACUGAUCCUUCCUGACAAACUGGUCCAUCGCCGGGGACUAUUCCACAACUGUUGCCUCUCGAUCUCUGCGCGUGCUUCUCCACCUCUUUCGACUAACAAAGCUUGCCAGGACUAGGUAGAAAUUGUACAGGCUCAUCCCAAACACCUACCCAUGCCACUCCACCUCAUCCUGGGUAAGCGGGAUGGCCCAGGCUGUGAUUUCUCUCACUGUUCAGUCGUGGAAUUCCAAAGGAUCCCCAACGCCCUUAAAGAAAGCUGAUUGAUGGCGUACGUGAAACUGGCAAGGUAAUCUGCCAUUCCCCCGCUUCCAGGCCUGAGACUCAACAGGCCGGCUUUCCUGGACUCCCAGAGGACUCAGGACUCCUGGCUGCUCCACUGACCACCACCAGGAACAAGAUGAGAGCGGCGAGUCUCAGGGCCAUGCGGGAGGCAGCUGGAGGCACGCCAGCACACCGACCCCCACCCUGUCAGCUUGCACCGACCGUCUCAUUGGAGCUGUCCUUAUAUUAACAAACUCUGUAUAUAAACACCGGAAAGUUCUUACAGUGACAUGGCUCGCUGGGACGCCCCAUCAGACGGUCCUCAGCGACACAGUAACUUGUGACGUAUUAUUCUCCCGUUCUGACAUGUGUCGGUCCCCGUCUGUGAGUGGAACGCCCCUCAUUUCUCUUGGACCAUUCGAGGUCUUUGCUUGCAUCGAGGAAUUUCUAAAACAGCCUACAGGCAAACGUGUUGUCUCGUUUUUCGAUCGAGUGCCGUGUUUGAAUCCAGAGAACCUGUCUAGUAUUUGCGAUAAAACACUGUACAGAUGAAUCUCACAAACAGAAGCAGACAGUGAGGAAAGGAAGUCUUCCCAUGUCCUCGUGAAACAGGUCGCAUAGUAACUAGGCCCCACGUUAGCGGUAUAAUGACAUUUCAAGCUGUUGUUUCUUUUUAACGUGUGACAUUGAUGCAUUAUGUUGACUCAUGCUUGUUUGUUUGUAGUUUUUACUCAAAUUCAGGAAGAGGAACUGAAUGUGAAAAAUAAAAUUGUGGGAAAAAAACC
Molecule: RNA transcript, 3339 nt
Organism: Brienomyrus brachyistius
Lineage: Eukaryota; Metazoa; Chordata; Actinopteri; Osteoglossiformes; Mormyridae
Gene name: chemokine-like protein TAFA-1
Exons: 6
Source: RefSeq, a predicted model, not a curated record